UCGAUGACAGGCGUUAACAAUGUUGUUCGACGACAGGCGUGAACAAUGUGCAAGUUGAUAUUGACGACAGGCGUGAACAAUGUUGUGCGGCCCACUAUGAACAGUAUUGUCAACAUGUUGUUGCAGCAUUGUUCAAUUGUAACAACUUGGAACAACAUGGUUGACAACUUGUUCAUAGUUGGCCGCACAACAGUGUUCACGCCUGUCAACUUGUAACAACCUGUGCGUUUUUAGCCGUGUAUGUAUUCCUCAGUAAACUAUUCAGUAAAAUUACGUCAAGGAACAACUCCCUUCUUCAACUCUGAUGUUGGUGUUAAAUAAGGCUGUAAUCUUCUUCCUACUGUUUUCAACAUGUUUGUAAAUGAUAUACCUGAUUUUUUUUAAAAUUAACCAGGCAUGUGAUCCAGUAAAACUUGGUAAUACAGAUUUGAACAGUUUACUUUAUGCGGACGAUUUAGUCCUGUUGUCCAAAUCGCAAAUAGGUUUACAAGAAUGUCUAUCAAAACUUGAAAUAUAUACAAAGAAAUGGAAGCUCAAAAUUAAUAGGAGAAAAUGCAAAGUUUUACUUUUUGGAACGCCGACCAAAGGCGUGCAUAUUUAACGUCAGCUUGGUUAUACGAAGAAAAUCCCCUAUAGAACAGGUGGAGCUAGUAUUGUUACCUUGGAAUUACUCCUCACUUUUCCGGAAAUUUCAAACGGGUGAUACUGCUGAUCAGGUGAUACUGCUGAUACGAGCUUACAAUUUUUUAUACAAAAAAUUUUCAAAUUUUGAAAAU
Non-coding RNA from Paramuricea clavata, 776 nucleotides. NCBI's taxonomy places the organism in Eukaryota, Metazoa, Cnidaria, Anthozoa, Malacalcyonacea, Plexauridae. The record is from the annotation of a GenBank genome assembly.